CUUUAGGUCUUAUUUCCUUGCCUGCAAGCUUUACCUUUCACCCUCUGCCAAGAAACAAAAAGGUAUCCACAACCUUUUCCAAUAAUUGGGCAAUGAGUUGGCUGGCCUCAAUGUGCACUGUCCCCAAUGUAAGGCACGCCCAUCAUGUUGUAAUUUCUUAGGGAGUCAUGUGACAUACUGCAUUAUAAGGAAAGACCUAAAAGACAUCAAGUCAAACAGGCUCAUAUUCAAGCACUAGACAGAUCAAAUCAGAAAGAGCUUUGAAAUUAUCAUGAAGGACCCCCAUGUCCGUUGUGAAGCGCUCUCUCAACUCUUUGGAAGAUGCAUCAAGCCCCAUACGGAGUGCCCUGCACAUAAAACAGGAAACAUCUUGUCUGUGAACGACUUUCACCAGCGCUGCAUGUUGGCACAUCAUUACUGCGAUGUUGAAGAAGAGUUCUUCGUGAACCUGGAGGAGUUCUUUGACCACGGGUUUGAUUACGACUUCACCAACAUGUCUUCAUCUUCCGAAUGUACCAGGGGAAACGAGAAGUACGAGAGGCCCCUCGGUUGGUACCGCAUGGCUGUGAAGGUUCUGGAUAAAUACCCAGAUGGGAACACCUGGCUGGGCAGAUCUGGGUGGAGGAGUGAGUCUUCACCAGGAGAGUGGCCAGCCUCCUUCCAUGGAACCAGCAUCGAUGGAGCCAAAGGCAUCAUCCAGGACCAUUACAUACCGGGAUCUGGACAAGCAUACGGAAGAGGGAUCUACUCCACUCCACUCAUGAGUAUUGCCGGUGAUCAAUACGCCAAGAUGUUCGUUUCAAAGAAGAAUGGCAAAAGAUACAAAGUGGUGAUUCAGAACAGGAUCAAUCCCAUGCAGAGAAAGAUCUGCGCCGCAACCGACUACUGGCUGAUUCCUGUUCAGCAAGGAACAUCAAAGGAGGAGGAGAAAAGGAUCGUGGAGAGCUCCAUUCGCCCGUACGGCAUCCUGAUUAAAGAGGUCUAAAUAAGAUGUGUGCAGGAUCAUUUAAGAGAAAAGUAGUUCAGUUAAGUGUUAAAGCUAAACAGCAAUUAUUUUCAGGUAAUACAAUAUGAGUAAUGUUUCUCCAUGUGAACUAAGUCAAGUGGCUGUAAACUGAAUAAACUUGAACUGUGUGUCCAACUGGGUGUCCAGUCUGUGUUUGUUCCCCAGUGAAAAUGGCCCAGCAGCCAGGCACUUGCCUAUUGAUCUCAUAGCCUCAAUGAAUAGAAAAAGGAUGGUAAAAUAACUUGGAGAACAGUAAUUUUUUAUGGAGAACCCUGUGUACUGUGUUCUUCCAUUCAGUUAAGACAUACAGUAUAUUAUAAUACUUAACCCUAUUUGUUUUGCAGUGCUGAAAACUUU
Molecule: long non-coding RNA, 1363 nt
Organism: Esox lucius (northern pike)
Lineage: Eukaryota; Metazoa; Chordata; Actinopteri; Esociformes; Esocidae
Source: Ensembl